Molecule: long non-coding RNA, 428 nt
Organism: Bos taurus (domestic cattle)
Lineage: Eukaryota; Metazoa; Chordata; Mammalia; Artiodactyla; Bovidae
Source: Ensembl
AUAGCAUCAUCUUUUAGGGUUUGAAAUAGCUCAAUGGGAAUUACAUCACCUUCACUAGCUUUGUUUGAAGUGAUGAUUCCUAAGGCCCACUUGACUUCACAUUCCAGGAUGUCUGGCUCUAGGAAUGGAAUGGUGCUGGGAUCUAGUUAUUAAAAAAAAGAGCCUAUAUAUUUUAUAAUAUCAUAUACACUAAAGCAUUUAUGGAUGAAAUAUGAUGUCUGGGAUUUGCUCCAAAAACUUCCAGUGGAGGUGGGAGCUGUUAGUGUUGAACAGUGGUUGAGGUAUGGAUAAAACAAACUAUCCUUCUAAUUGGUGAUGCCAAAGGGAGACCGAACGAGGCCGGGUAUUCCGGUCCUGCUGUUCAUCUUGCUACCACGUGGUAGCGCUGUUGAAGACAGUCCAGUGGAAUAUAACAAGAGCGGCAGGCG